RNAcentral lists this ribosomal RNA (253 nucleotides) under uncultured bacterium. RNAcentral describes it as "partial 16S ribosomal RNA". It matches the Rfam family "Bacterial small subunit ribosomal RNA", at positions 524 to 776 of the family's 1533-position model. The record is from RNAcentral.
UACGAGGGGAGCAAGCGUUAUUCGGAAUUAUUGGGCGUAAAGGGCGCGUAGGCGGCUUGGCAAGUGGAAGGUGAAAUCCCUCGGCUUAACCGAGGAACUGCCCUCCAAACUGCUUCGCUUGAGACCGGGAGAGGUGAGUGGAAUUCCCAGUGUAGCGGUGAAAUGCGUAGAUAUUGGGAGGAACACCAGUGGCGAAGGCGGCUCACUGGACCGGUACUGACGCUGAUGCGCGAAAGCGUGGGGAGCAAACGGG